UACGAAGGGGGCUAGCGUUGUUCGGAAUUACUGGGCGUAAAGGGCGCGUAGGCGGUUUAACAAGUCAGGUGUGAAAGCCCCGAGCUCAACUCGGGAACUGCGCUUGAUACUGUUAUUCUUGAAUUCGGGAGAGGUGAGUGGAAUUCCCAGUGUAGAGGUGAAAUUCGUAGAUAUUGGGAGGAACACCAGUGGCGAAGGCGGCUCACUGGACCGACAUUGACGCUGAGGCGCGAAAGCGUGGGGAUCAAACAGGAUUAGAUACCCUGGUAGUCCACGCUGUAAACGAUGCAUGCUAGACGCUUGAGGGCUUAGCCCUUGGGUGUCGCAGCUAACGCAAUAAGCAUGCCGCCUGGGGAGUACGGCCGCAAGGUUGAAACUCAAAUGAAUUGACGGGGGCCCGCACAAGCGGUGGAGUAUGUGGUUUAAUUCGACGCAACGCGAAGAACCUUACCAGCUCUUGACAUGUGAAGUAUGGGUCUGAGAGAUCAGAUCCUUCGGUUCGGCCGGCUUCAACACAGGUGCUGCAUGGCUGUCGUCAGCUCGUGUCGUGAGAUGUUGGGUUAAGUCCCGCAACGAGCGCAACCCUCAUCUUCAGUUGCUACCAGGUUAUGCUGGGCACUCUGAAGAAACCGCCGGUGAUAAGCCGGAGGAAGGUGGGGAUGACGUCAAGUCCUCAUGGCCCUUACGGGCUGGGCUACACACGUACUACAAUGGUGGUGACAGUGGGCAGCGAAGGCGCGAGCCGGAGCCAAUCCCCAAAAGCCACCUCAGUUCAGAUUGCACUCUGCAACUCGAGUGCAUGAAGUUGGAAUCGCUAGUAAUCGCGGAUCAGCACGCCGCGGUGAAUACGUUCCCGGGCCU
Molecule: ribosomal RNA, 861 nt
Filed under: uncultured bacterium
Lineage: Bacteria
Description: SSU rRNA
Rfam family: Bacterial small subunit ribosomal RNA
Source: RNAcentral